GAUCAUGCUCAGGAUGAACGCUGGCGGCGUGCCUAAUACAUGCAAGUCGAACGCUUCACUUCGGUGAAGAGUGGCGAACGGGUGAGUAAUACAUAAGUAACCUGGCAUCUACAGGGGGAUAACUGAUGGAAACGUCAGCUAAGACCGCAUAGGUGUAGAGAUCGCAUGAACUCUAUAUGAAAAGUGCUACGGGACUGGUAGAUGAUGGACUUAUGGCGCA
RNAcentral lists this ribosomal RNA (220 nucleotides) under uncultured bacterium. RNAcentral's name for it is "partial 16S ribosomal RNA". It matches the Rfam family "Bacterial small subunit ribosomal RNA", at positions 15 to 240 of the family's 1533-position model. The record is from RNAcentral.